Molecule: ribosomal RNA, 539 nt
Filed under: uncultured bacterium
Lineage: Bacteria
Description: bacterial SSU rRNA
Rfam family: Bacterial small subunit ribosomal RNA
Source: RNAcentral
UGAGGAAUAUUGGUCAAUGGGCGCAAGCCUGAACCAGCCAAGUAGCGUGCAGGAAGACGGCCCUAUGGGUUGUAAACUGCUUUUAUACGAGAAUAAUUUGAUGCACGUGUGCGUUAUUGCAUGUAUCGUAUGAAUAAGGACCGGCUAAUUCCGUGCCAGCAGCCGCGGUAAUACGGAAGGUCCAGGCGUUAUCCGGAUUUAUUGGGUUUAAAGGGAGUGUAGGCGGUUUGUUAAGCGUGUUGUGAAAUUUAGGUGCUCAACAUUUAACUUGCAGCGCGAACUGUCAGACUUGAGUACACGCAACGUAUGCGGAAUUCAUGGUGUAGCGGUGAAAUGCUUAGAUAUCAUGAAGAACUCCGAUUGCGAAGGCAGCAUACGGGAGUGUAACUGACGCUUAAGCUCGAAGGUGCGGGUAUCGAACAGGAUUAGAUACCCUGGUAGUCCGCACAGUAAACGAUGGAUGCCCGCUGUUAGCGCCUGGCGUUAGCGGCUAAGCGAAAGCAUUAAGCAUCCCACCUGGGGAGUACGCCGGCNACGGU